ACGCUCGACACCUACGGGAGGCAGCAGUGGGGAAUAUUGCACAAUGGGGGAAACCCUGAUGCAGCGACGCCGCGUGAGCGAAGAAGUAUUUCGGUAUGUAAAGCUCUAUCAGCAGGGAAGAAAAUGACGGUACCUGACUAAGGAGCCCCGGCUAACUACGUGUCAGCAGCCGCGGUAAUCUGAGCGGGCUGGCAAGGC
This 198-nucleotide ribosomal RNA is filed under the name uncultured bacterium. RNAcentral describes it as "partial 16S ribosomal RNA". It matches the Rfam family "Bacterial small subunit ribosomal RNA", at positions 328 to 539 of the family's 1533-position model. The record is from RNAcentral.